UGGCAUGCUGAGAUUCAUGGGGUCGCGAAGAGUCAGACACUACUGAGCGACUGAACUGAACCGAACUGAACUGAGUCCUUUAGCCUGAUUCUAGAGAUCGCUAGUAGAUGUUUCCAGCCGCUGGAGCUCUGGGGCUCUGAUAUCAGUGGAAGCGACAGAGCUGCGAGGAGUCAGGCAGCAGCUGCCAGACUGGGGUCCCAGCAGGAGACUGGCCAGGGGCUGGCCGCUGAGGAGACCCGGUCAGCAGCAGCCUCCAGAUCCCUGGCCACAGCCAGAGUGCCCGGACUGCAGACCACCAUCACCAUCACAGGAGUUGGAGCUGUGGUGCCGGCAGCGGUGGGACCUGCGGUGCCUGUGGGGGCCCAGGCAGCAGCCACCCUCAGAGCUGGGGGCGCAGCUUGAGGAGGUGGGAGGCAGACACUGUGCUGGGCUUUUUGGGGGACACUUAGGGGAGGGGCACUUGGGAGGGGGCUGGCACUGCUGCUGGUUCUGCUGGCAGGACAUCUCGGCAGGAGGUCAGUGAGCCUGGGCAAAACAAAAUCACCUUGUCAGCCUGGAAUCCACAGUCCAGUGUUUCCCCACUCAUGGUUUCCUGAUCCCUCUCUUGUCAGGCCAGCUGCUUCUUAAGACAGGGCCACAGGAGGGAGAGGAACACUGAUGUGGAGUUAAUUUGAUCAUGCAAGUUGCC
Molecule: long non-coding RNA, 688 nt
Filed under: Capra hircus (goat)
Lineage: Eukaryota; Metazoa; Chordata; Mammalia; Artiodactyla; Bovidae
Description: lncRNA (ENSCHIG00000006963.1)
Source: RNAcentral